GAGCUCGUAGGCGGUUUGUCGCGUCUGCUGUGAAAUCCCGAGGCUCAACCUCGGGCCUGCAGUGGGUACGGGCAGACUAGAGUGCGGUAGGGGAGAUUGGAAUUCCUGGUGUAGCGGUGGAAUGCGCAGAUAUCAGGAGGAACACCGAUGGCGAAGGCAGAUCUCUGGGCCGUAACUGACGCUGAGGAGCGAAAGGGUGGGGAGCAAACAGGCUUAGAUACCCUGGUAGUCCACCCCGUAAACGUUGGGAACUAGUUGUGGGGUCCAUUCCACGGAUUCCGUGACGCAGCUAACGCAUUAAGUUCCCCGCCUGGGGAGUACGGCCGCAAGGCUAAAACUCAAAGGAAUUGACGGGGACCCGCACAAGCGGCGGAGCAUGCGGAUUAAUUCGAUGCAACGCGAAGAACCUUACCAAGGCUUGACAUAUACGAGAACGGGCCAGAAAUGGUCAACUCUUUGGACACUCGUAAACAGGUGGUGCAUGGUUGUCGUCAGCUCGUGUCGUGAGAUGUUGGGUUAAGUCCCGCAACGAGCGCAACCCUCGUUCUAUGUUGCCAGCACGUAAUGGUGGGAACUCAUGGGAUACUGCCGGGGUCAACUCGGAGGAAGGUGGGGAUGACGUCAAAUCAUCAUGCCCCUUAUGUCUUGGGCUUCACGCAUGCUACAAUGGCCGGUACAAAGGGCUGCAAUACCGCGAGGUGGAGCGAAUCCCAAAAAGCCGGUCCCAGUUCGGAUUGAGGUCUGCAACUCGACCUCAUGAAGUCGGAGUCGCUAGUAAUCGCAGAUCAGCAACGCUGCGGUGAAUACGUUCCCGGGUCUUGUACACACCGCCCGUCAAGUCAUGAAAGUCGGUAACACCUGAAGCCGGUGGCCCAACCCUUGUGGAGGGAGCCGUCGAAGUGGGAUCGGUAAUUAGGACGAAGUCGUA
Molecule: ribosomal RNA, 928 nt
Filed under: Microbacterium foliorum
Lineage: Bacteria; Bacillati; Actinomycetota; Actinomycetes; Micrococcales; Microbacteriaceae
Description: bacterial SSU rRNA
Rfam family: Bacterial small subunit ribosomal RNA
Source: RNAcentral